Molecule: ribosomal RNA, 253 nt
Filed under: uncultured bacterium
Lineage: Bacteria
Description: partial 16S ribosomal RNA
Rfam family: Bacterial small subunit ribosomal RNA
Source: RNAcentral
UACGAAGGGGGCAAGCGUUGUUCGGAAUUACUGGGCGUAAAGGGUGCGUAGGCGGUCUUGCAAGUCAGAUGUGAAAGCCCCGGGCUCAACCUGGGAACUGCAUUUGAAACUGCAAGGCUUGAGUAUGGGAGAGGUUAGCGGAAUUCCGAGUGUAGAGGUGAAAUUCGUAGAUAUUCGGAAGAACAUCAAUGGCGAAGGCAGCUAACUGGACCAUUACUGACGCUGAGGCACGAAAGCGUGGGGAGCAAACAGG